GAAAAAGCAAAGAGAAGAAGGCAGCCUCUCUUUCUCACAGGAAACAAAAAGGAGCACGGCUCUUCUUUUUAUCCAAUUACCAGCAGAGCAGACGCACGUCUGACAUUGAGGAUGGAUGAAAGGUGGAAGCUGCCUGCAGUGACAGCAUGACUGCUUUUCACAUGAUGCUCUUCUGGGGACCUGCGGCCCUUUGUGGAAGGUGGGGAUGGCCCCUUCCAGCCGCUCUUCACCGUGUGCCACGUCUCAGGUUCUCUUUUUGUUCAUCUGAGACACAGAACACCUCUUGAUGAAGGUCACAGCUUUGAUCCCCGUGGCUCGCUCUUGUGUUUGUAGCCAUUAUUAGUAACAUCAGCUCGUGCAUGCACUUCUCCCUGCCUGCCCUUGUCUGGCUGCAAGGGAGCAGGGGCAGGAUAACAAAAGAAAGUAUAAAUAGUCUUUUUAAAAGCCUGUUAAAUAGAAGUAGACUUUUUAGGGAGGAGGGAGAAAGAAUGAGGCGUGUUACCAUAGUAACUGCCAAUGGUUUAUUUAAGAAGGGCAAAGAAACAAACACCACAAAAAGGCGAAGUCGAGAGGAGCUGGAGAUCACUGGAGGAAUCUGUCGGGACACAGACAACAUGGGGCCAGAAACUUGGUCUGAACUCCCAAAUGGACAAAUACAUUCCUCACCAAAGACACACACUGAACAGCUGUUGAAUGAACACAAAUAUUACUUGAUUGCUUGAAAUUAAAGGGGAGGAUGCAAUCCUGAUAAAGUGUCUGUGGGAGCAGAUUGCAAGUUGUUCUGAUGAAGAAGAGGCACUUUGUUUAACAUGAAAUUUCACCACAUGGUUUAUUUCUCAGUUCUCUUUGUAAUAGAUGUACAGAGUUUGGCCAAAGGUCAGGCAAGCUCUAGAAGGACCAUCAGUGUGUUUCACUCUCAUUUAGAAUGUGAAAUAGGUCUGGAAAAUAUUAAAGCUUCUCAGUGAAUACAAAUUCCAAUGAAUUCAUGGUUGGUCUUAUAAUAUUACUGCUAUUGUUACUUUCAUAAUGUAGCUGUUUAUUAACAUUCAUAAUGUUGCUGUUUAUAAAUUUCUGAAGUUCAGGAGUCAAGUGGUUGGGACAAGAUUCUUUUCAGUGGUGUCCAACUACAGAACAAGGGGCAAUGGGCAGAAACUGGAACACAUGGAAGAAUUUUUUUUACUGUGAGUGACAGAAUGCUGGAACAGGCUGCCCAGAGAGGUUGUAGGCUCUCCUUUUCUGGAGAUAUUUAAGACCCAUCUGGAUAUUUUCCUGUGGGACCUAUUAUAGGGAACGUGUUUCAGCAGGGGGGUUGGACUUGGUGAUCCUCAGAGGUCCCUUCCAACCGCUACAAUUCUGUGACUGUGUGAUAGCUACCCUGCUGAAAUCAGCAGCCUCAGUCAACUCACUGGUAAAAAAAAAAAUUCUUUGCUCUUAUUUCUAAUGCAAGAUGUCAUGAUUGCAUCAGUUCAAAUGCUCACUUUGUCCAGUUUUGUUGAGAUGUGUGUAUGGCAAUAUGCAUGACUUGGAAAUAAUCAUGGAAGGAAAAUUCAUUUCUGAAUAUCCUCUUUGGCCAUCAAAGCAGCAGGUCUCCCAGAUAAUCACCACAGAUCAGAAAGAUGCAAAUGGUAUUCAGAUAGCUCACUUUAAGCAGAUGUACCUUGGCAGUAGAAUAGUAAAUUCCCUCCUCAAAAUGUUGACUCAGAUGAAUGCUUUUCAGAAAUAAAAUGGUGUUAAAGGUGUUUUGUUUUUUUUAAUGAUACCAAUAGGCACCAAUAUUUUUUAAAAGCUAAUCUUCAAAAAACUGAAGGUUUUUUUGAAACUUUUAGAAUAUGUGUAUGUGGUUUUUUUUUGUGACAAUUUAGAAGUUCAGAUAGCCCCACUCCUGAAAACUCUUCCAAGCAAUUUGAAGAAGAUUCAUCCUUCUGUGUUCAUCCUUCAUGUUUCUGGUGCCUAACUCCAAGACACUUUGGUUUGUUAAAAGAAUUCUAUUUUCUUCCAGAAUGUCAGCAAUGCCAGGGUGAGAUGUGUCUUUCAGUCACUUCAGCAUCAUUGAUUCAAUGACUGUAUUAUCUGCAAUUUCUUCAUGGUGUUACAUUGUAGUGCCAAAUAUUUUCACUUCAGUUAAAAUAAAAUUCUUCCAACCAAUUGUGACUUGGUGUCUGUGAUUAUAAUGACAUGAAGGGAAAUGUAAAGGACUUGUUAGACUCAGUGAUCCUUUUGGGUCCCUUCCAGCUUUUAUGAAUCUAGGGUUGUUUCACCAGGACUUUGUUGGAGUGAGAUUGGCUAACAUAUUUUCAUCUUAUUUUAGUUUUCCAAUAGCAACUGAUAAAUACCACAAGUGUGAAGCAAUGAUGAGCUCCGCAAAUCAAAAAGCAAUGCAAACGAAAGAUACUAAUAAUCUUUACAUGAUGAGAUCACAGUUUGAAUGGGAGCAUUGGCACAGCAGCAGCAACUAGCACAAAGAUGUCCCUGUCCCCAGCAAUAAACC
Gallus gallus (chicken) is the source of this 2488-nucleotide long non-coding RNA. The record is from Ensembl. NCBI's taxonomy places the organism in Eukaryota, Metazoa, Chordata, Aves, Galliformes, Phasianidae.